CGGAGACUGAGACACGAGUAAUUGAUUCCCCGGGGGCAACAUUUCUGAUGUUCAGAUUGCCGUGUCUUUCACUGUUCACCCACCGGGCUUUUUAUAAACCGUCUGGAGACUCCAGAAACACAGCAGCUGCAAGCCCCGUGUGUUAAAGUUUAGCGACCUGCUAACGCUCGCUCGCUCCCCCUAGCUGUGUCAGUGACCAUGGUGUAGGUGCUGGUGCCUCUCCCCUGGGAGGUUACAGGGACCACACCGGCAGGGGCACUGGCUCAGCCAGCCUGCAGACACUUACAGAUUGCCAUAGCUGCACCCCCUGCUCUGAAGCAGAGGGGAAGGGCCAGGCAGCUCCUCAGAGGGUAAAUACUUUACCGUCCUAGCAGGGCUUUUGUGUGGCUAGCAGCACCCUGGCCUGGAGAUGGAUUAAUAACAAACGUUCCUCAGAGUCCCAGAAUAGAGUCCAUCAGCACAACACAAAGCUUCUGCUCUGACCUCUUCAGCCAGGUUUGGAGCGCUUCUUUUGUCCCAAACUGCUCUGCACCAAGCAGCCACCCCUGGCCAAAACUCAGCUUUCUUCAACUCUCCCUCUCUUUGGCCUAGAGAGGUCAGCAGGCAAAGCCCCUCUGCUGCUCUCCUGGCCACCGCGGGUAGGACCUCCUGCCCUCUGCAGCUUCUGCCCUUACUUCCCCAGCAGCUCCCUCACCUCCCUUGGGUGAGAGAGAUCAGUGGGUAACCAGCCUUCCCCUGCUGCCGCCGCUGUCUUUGUAAGACCCAGGUUCCUUCCCUUAAGCCCAGUUGGGCAGGAAGGAAUCGGUAACAGGUGCACUGGACUUCUCUUCCCUCCCCUCCCCCCUCACUUCUUAAAGGGGCCAGUCAGCCUGUGACAGCCAUCAACUGUGGUGACAAUGCAAAUAAUUACCUUGUGCCCUAAGGCUGUUUAAACCCCUGGGACAGAGACCCCUUCCAGCCUCACCUCCUGUGAACUUCACCCCUGGAGGGCUGGAGGGCCGUCUUUGAAACAACACUUGUACAAAGUGCUGCAUGUCCAUCUGUGCUGAUCCUCUCCACUUCAGCCAGAAAUGGUAAACGGGGAGGCUGGGCUGCCUCUUUGUUCAAGAGACCUUCAAAGAGAGCCCAGCCCUCUGCUGGAAGAAGUGCUGGCUACCCGUGGGUAGGACUCAGGUGGCAUCUUGGUGACAGGUAGGGUAACCAUACGUCCCGUUCUGGCCAGGACAGUCCCUUUUUUAAGCCCUGUCCCGAUGGUCCUGACUUUUUUGGCAAAAGUGGGCAUUUGUCCCGUUUGCUCUUGUCAGCUUGAUCAGUUGGCAAGAGCAAACAGAACAAAUGCUCACCUUCUAAAAAAAAAAAUGGGGUGUGGAGGAACGUGCUGGGGCAAGCAGUGAUGCCAGCCCCUUGCAGGGCGGGGAGGCAGGGCUCAGGUGAGGGCAUGCAGGUCGUGGGCAGGGGGAAGGCAGGGCGUGGGCGAGUAGUGAUGCCAGCCCCAGCCUUGCGCAAACAGUGAUGCCAGUCCCGCAUGGGGGCUCAGGUGAAUGGCUCAGGAAAGGCUUGCGCUAGCCCCACGUUGUGUCCCAUUUUCCCUUUGGGAAAUACAGUCACCCUAGACAGGGGGUGCUGUGACCGGCUUUUUGAUGAGACCCAAAAGCAAGGUCCUGAUCACUUGUGGUCAUCAAAGAUCCCGUGCCACUGGGAUGUGAGUGGUGUUACACUGGCCAAACUCUAGUGUAGAUAAUCUCAUUCUGCCUCUUCCAGCCCCCCUGUCAUUGCACUUGGCUGUUGGUUUUCUCUUCACAUCCUGUCCUUACUGCUUGUGUCAUCUGUCCAGCAUCUAGCACAAUGGGGUCCAGUUCCUGGACUGGGGUCCCUAGUUACUACCAUAAUAUAGGGACUACCUCUAAUAAUGGGGCUCUGUCCAGGAACCUAAGGACAGGCCUGACUAAGAGGGACCAUGUACAGACAGGCCAUCAGCCAUGUUCUGUAACUGGGUUAAAGCCCUGCUCACGCAGAAUGUGAGCAUCAGGCAUCACGGGAGGUUGUGGCAGUCAUUGGAGGAUCUGGAAAGGAGGGUGCUUAGGCGGUGUGGGUUAGUGGUGAUUAUGGUGCCUUUGUAUCUUCAGCAUGUGGCAGUAUUGUGUGUGGAGCGUUGCUCAGUGGUUGGAACCAGUGACUAGGAGUUGAGACUCCUGUAUUCAACUCAUGGCUCUGAUGCUAGUUUGCUUUUAGGCUAAUGUGUUCAGAAGUGGCCUCUGAUUCUGGGUGCUUAAUAUGAGCCUGGUGUUCCGACGGUUCAGGCACCCUGAGCUCCAGUUGAAGUCACGGGUACUGUGAGUGCUCAGCUCCUCUGACAGUUGGCCCCACCUGAUUUCAAGUCAGGCAUCAAAAACUCUCCCCCGCCAAUCAGAGGCUGUUUUUCAAAAUGUGGCCUCUAAUAUCCCUGUGCCUCGGAUCCCGUCAGUAAAAUAGGGAUCGUGAUAGUGACUGGCCUGCUGGGGAGUCGGGGGAUGAGGGAGUCCCUGUGAAGUGCUUGGAAGUGUGACGUGCUAGAGCCGCCCUGGAGGUCAUUCAGUCAGUCACCAAAAUCGCUCCUCUGGUUCUCGCUGCUUGUGGUUCAGUUCAGAAAGGGGUGGGGGGGGGCUUGAAAACAAUAAGAAGAUUCCAAAAGCGCCUAAGGGAGCGAGGGCCCAGUUCUGCCAAGGCAUUUAGGCACCUGAGCCCAACUGAAAUCAGUGGAAGUUAGGCGCCUAGGUGGUCCCUGAGAGCCAAUGGGUGUUGGCUGCCAGUUCCCUGGGUGUUUUUGGAACCCCCACGUUAAGGCAAUAGACGUCUGUUUCUUCUCGUAUCCCCCUUCCUUUCUGUCCCCACUCCUAGCCCUGUCUCACUCCCCCUCUGUCUCUUC
Chrysemys picta bellii (western painted turtle) is the source of this 2905-nucleotide non-coding RNA. NCBI's taxonomy places the organism in Eukaryota, Metazoa, Chordata, Testudines, Emydidae. The record is from RefSeq and is a predicted model, not a curated record.